GAAGAGAUGCUUUCUGACAUAAUGAGCUUAAAGAUGAAGCUGGUCAAUACAUCUGACAUAGACGUUAAUGAAGACUGGCUUAAACAUCCGGGAAUACAGUAAAAUAACAAACUUAUCAAUAUGCUUCUAACACGUCAGCGGUCAGCUAUACAUCUAAAAGGAGUUGUGAAGAAAGGCGAUAUUAAACGGACUGCCGAUAUAUCAGAAGGAAAACUAUCGCAUAAUGAUAAUGGUAUAUCUGUGGAAAAUGGUGAAUGUAUUACGUGUACAGUAUUAUUCGAUACAAGAAAAAUACCUGUGGAACAAAUGGGUAAGUUCUUAUUAUUCCAAACCAAUCAAUACUUGGGGAAAAAAUGAAAGAGUGAAAAACAGUGAACUUGAGAGAAUGCAACUUUUUUUUUUCAAACAUGAUACAUGUAAGGUAAAAAUAGACAAUUAAAAUUUUGUUUGAAUGGUAAGUGCAGCUAUCAUGUUGAUUUGAAAAUACGUAUGCAUCUUUCCUUUUAAUUUCUGUAUCCAAGCAUUGUUCAGAGCCUAAAUAAGCAACCAUAAGUUUUAUUUUUAUAAAUCAAAUCAAGUAUUUAUAUAAAUAAAAAAAUAAUGAACAUUAUAACAUUCCCUGAAGGUAACGUUAUUUAACAAGAUGACUCUUUUAAAAUAGGAAAUUUGCCUCUCAUCGAUGUGGGUUCGAAACCUCAUUUGGGGUGUAGAAUGUUUUCACGUGAGGAAGCCAUCCAGCUGGCUUACGGAAGGUCGGUGGUUCUACCCAGGUGCCCGCUCGUGAUGAAAUAGUGCACGGAGGGGCACCUGGGGUCUUCCUCCACCAUUAAAGCUGGAAAGACGCCAUAUGACCUAAAAUUGUGUCGGUGCGACAAUAAACCCAACAAAAUAAAAUAAAAUAAAUUAAAAUAGGAAAUUAGAAUAUGAAGUGAAACUUAGAACCGGCAUUGGGUCAGCAGUGCAAAUUGCUUCUGUGUACAACGACUGUACGAAUGGAACACAUUACGACCAGGAUCUUGUUAUACAGAGGGUAUUUCAACUGUCUGUUGGACAAAACAGUGAGGUGUUUAUUGAUAUUGGUGAACUUUGUCACAGUCUUGUUGUUGAAGAAGAUAUACAUUCAUUUGGUAUAUUUGAACUCUGAAUAAAUUUCGCGUCAAUUGUCAUAUAAAAGGGUUCAUAAGAAGAAGAUUCGUGAUAGUGAAUAAGUGUGUAAAACCGAUAAAUGUUUAUCGCCACAGACAGAUGUCAUUACUGUUUUAUUACUUUUCAUAUGCAUGUAUAAAUGUCAGUAUGCUAAUCUACUUUCCAGAUUUUAUUUACAGAACAAUAAAAUCAUAUGUAUGAAAAACUUUAUAUCUAUGUGAUAAUUGUUAGAGAAAAAUGUUUUGAAGCAGGGUUAUCGUGUAGAUAAUAUAAUUUGAUCUGUUUGUUUGAUAUUAAUUUGUUGCUUAACUAAACAUAAAUGUUUAUAUGAUCUCAUAAUAUUUCAUCAGCACCGUUGUA
This is a long non-coding RNA of Mercenaria mercenaria, 1506 nucleotides long. RefSeq lists it as uncharacterized. The record is from RefSeq and is a predicted model, not a curated record. The transcript is spliced from 2 exons. Lineage: Eukaryota; Metazoa; Mollusca; Bivalvia; Venerida; Veneridae.